Molecule: ribosomal RNA, 489 nt
Filed under: uncultured bacterium
Lineage: Bacteria
Description: partial 16S ribosomal RNA
Rfam family: Bacterial small subunit ribosomal RNA
Source: RNAcentral
AUUGAACGCUGGCGGCAGGCCUAACACAUGCAAGUCGAACGGUAACAGGAAGCAGCUUGCUGCUUUGCUGACGAGUGGCGGACGGGUGAGUAAUGUCUGGGAAACUGCCCGAUGGAGGGGGAUAACUACUGGAAACGGUAGCUAAUACCGCAUAACGUCGCAAGACCAAAGAGGGGGACCUUAGGGCCUCUUGCCAUCGGAUGUGCCCAGAUGGAUUAGGUAGUAGGUGGGGUAACGGCUCACCUAGGCGACGAUCCCUAGCUGGUAUGAAAGAAUGACCAGCCACACUGGAACUGAGACACGGUCCAAACUCCUACGGGAGGCAGCAGUGGGGAAUAUUGCACGAUGGGCGCAAGCCAUAUGCAGCCAUGCCGCGUGUAUGAAGAAGGCCUUCGGGUUGUAAAGUACUUUCAGCGGGGAGGAAGGGAGUAAAGUUAAUACCUUUGCUCAUUGACGUUACCCGCAGAAGAAGCACCGGCUAACUCCGUG